ACUGGGCAUGGUGACAUGUUUGUGAUCUUUACUACUAGGGGAGGCUGAGGCUGGUGAAUCAUUUGAGCUCAGGAGCUCUGAGCUACAGGAGGGCUAAAGCUGAUCAGAUGUAAGCACUAAGUUGAGCAUCAUAUAUGCUGAGCCCCUGGGUACAGGGGGACCACCAGGCUGCCUAAGGAGGGGCAAACCAGCUCAGGUUAGAGAUGAAGCAGGUCGAGGUCUUCAUGUUGCUUAGUAGUGGGAUCAGAUCCAUGAGUAUAUUUCCAGUCUGGGUGAGAUGGGGAGAUCUAGCCUCCA
RNAcentral lists this signal recognition particle RNA (297 nucleotides) under Vombatus ursinus (common wombat). RNAcentral describes it as "Metazoan signal recognition particle RNA (ENSVURG00010014621.1)". It matches the Rfam family "Metazoan signal recognition particle RNA". From Rfam's summary of the family: The signal recognition particle (SRP) is a universally conserved ribonucleoprotein. It is involved in the co-translational targeting of proteins to membranes. The record is from Rfam by way of RNAcentral. Lineage: Eukaryota; Metazoa; Chordata; Mammalia; Diprotodontia; Vombatidae.